Octopus sinensis (East Asian common octopus) is the source of this 272-nucleotide long non-coding RNA. RefSeq lists it as uncharacterized. The transcript has 3 exons. The record is from RefSeq and is a predicted model, not a curated record. NCBI's taxonomy places the organism in Eukaryota, Metazoa, Mollusca, Cephalopoda, Octopoda, Octopodidae.
AUUUGAUUUAAAUGCACCAGUUUCAGAUGUACAAUGGGCACCUUAUUCAUCUACUGUAUUCGCGGCAUGUACAACAGCUGGAAAAAUUUAUGUUUUCGAUUUAGCUGUCAAUAAAUACGAAUCAUUGUGCAGUCAGCAAUUGGUUCAACGUCAGAAAGCAAAAUUAACACAUUUAUCAUUCAACCCAAAAUUUCCUAUUAUUUUAGUCAGCGAUGACAGAGGUUACGUAAUCAGUUAUAAAUUAUCUCCAAACUUGCGAAAAGUUCCAAAAG